CACAAAAUCAUCUUCUCAUCUCCUCUUCCCCAAUUUCAUCUCAAAACCCUCGCACCAAUCCACCGUAACCCUUCCACCGUUCAGCACUGCCACGAAACACCUCUCAACACUCCUCUAACAAAUUCUUAUGUUGGAACCCACUCCGGUUCCAAAUCGAUAAACGAAUCGGUGAACGGGUUGCGUGAUUUCACGAUCAGAUGACCGGCCAGAUGGUAAUCCAGUUACAACCGCUCUGAGAGAGAUAGAAAUUGACGAUGACGUUGGUGAGUCUCCGCCCCUAUCAUCACCACUACCACCACCGCCUCACACUGCCAGCAGUUGUAGUAGUUGAAAACCCUAGACGGUCGGUUCCUGUCUCCCAAAUCCCAUCUUUUUACCCUAAUAUUAAAGAACUUUUUUGUCCAACACUGAAGAACCCUAAACGGCGAUUGUGACGACGGUGGCGAAUCUGGUCUGGAUUUUGCCAGGUUCUUUCAGAAAGGUUGAUCACUUCUGAGGAUAUAUCCUGGUGUAUCACAUUAUUGUCCCGUUUUGAUAUAGAGACGAAGACAUAACAGCUCGGACACAGGAGGCCCAUCAAGAUCUUUUGGGUUGGUUUGGUGAUGAUGGUUGUUGCGUUGGAGGUGGAGGUGGUGGGUAAAUGAUGAACAGGGUUUGAGUGUUUGGUUGCAGAAGUUGAAAAGCCUACAAAGAUGGGUGAAAGAAUGGUGUUUUGAAUCAAAAGAAGAGAUAUAGUGGCUGGCGUUGACAACAGUCAGUGUUUGCGAAACAAUCGAGGCCGAUGAUUUUGAACCAACUUGGUACAUAUUUCGUUUUCCCUCACAAGGUACUUCCAUAGCUUGCUUUGUUCUUACGCAUGUUUUUUUAUGAAGAGACUUUUGAGGUUAUAUGGCAGGGUAUUCUAAGUCUCCGGUUCUCAUACCACCUAGGGUUCUACCCUUGCUUCAUGAUUUAGCACAACAUAUGGUGCAUGCUGGUCACACUUACAGGUCAUUUGCAAAGAAAACUGGAACUCCACAACAAGCUUUAAAUGAUCCGAAAGUUGAAGUUCCACCAUUG
This is a long non-coding RNA of Helianthus annuus (common sunflower), 1059 nucleotides long. RefSeq lists it as uncharacterized. NCBI's taxonomy places the organism in Eukaryota, Viridiplantae, Streptophyta, Magnoliopsida, Asterales, Asteraceae. The record is from RefSeq and is a predicted model, not a curated record. The transcript has 5 exons.